This 821-nucleotide ribosomal RNA is filed under the name uncultured marine bacterium. Its description in RNAcentral is "bacterial SSU rRNA". It matches the Rfam family "Bacterial small subunit ribosomal RNA", at positions 28 to 896 of the family's 1533-position model. The record is from RNAcentral.
AACGAACGCUGGCGGCAGGCCUUAUACAUGCAAGUCGAGCGCAUCCUUCGGGAUGAGCGGCGGACGGGUGAGUAACGCGUGGGAAUGUGCCCUUCUCUACGGAAUAGCCACUGGAAACGGUGAGUAAUACCGUAUACGCCCUUAGGGGGAAAGAUUUAUCGGAGAAGGAUCAGCCCGCGUUAGAUUAGGUAGUUGGUGGGGUAACGGCCUACCAAGCCUACGAUCUAUAGCUGGGUUUAGAGGAUGAUCAGCCACACUGGGACUGAGACACGGCCCAGACUCCUACGGGAGGCAGCAGUAGGGAAUCUUGGACAAUGGGGGAAACCCUGAUCCAGCCAUGCCGCGUGAGUGAAGAAGGCCUUAGGGUCGUAAAGCUCUUUCGCCUGUGAUGAUAAUGACAGUAGCAGGUAAAGAAACCCCGGCUAACUCCGUGCCAGCAGCCGCGGUAAUACGGAGGGGGUUAGCGUUGUUCGGAAUUACUGGGCGUAAAGCGCGCGUAGGCGGAUUGGAAAGUUGGGGGUGAAAUCCCGGGGCUCAACCCCGGAACUGCCUCCAAAACUGCCAGUCUAGAGUUCGAGAGAGGUGAGUGGAACUCCAAGUGCAGAGGUGAAAUUCGUAGAUAUUUGGAAGAACACCAGUGGCGAAGGCGGCUCACUGGCUCGAUACUGACGCUGAGGUGCGAAAGUGUGGGGAGCAAACAGGAUUAGAUACCCUGGUAGUCCACACCGUAAACGAUGAAUGCCAGUCGUCGGGUAGUAUACUAUUCGGUGACACACCUAACGGAUUAAGCAUUCCGCCUGGGGAGUACGGUCGCAAGAUUA